RNAcentral lists this ribosomal RNA (492 nucleotides) under uncultured bacterium. Its description in RNAcentral is "partial 16S ribosomal RNA". It matches the Rfam family "Bacterial small subunit ribosomal RNA", at positions 29 to 507 of the family's 1533-position model. The record is from RNAcentral.
AGUGAACGCUGGCGGUAGGCCUAACACAUGCAAGUCGAACGGCAGCACAGUAAGAGCUUGCUCUUACGGGUGGCGAGUGGCGGACGGGUGAGGAAUACAUCGGAAUCUACUUUUUCGUGGGGGAUAACGUAGGGAAACUUACGCUAAUACCGCAUACGACCUACGGGUGAAAGCAGGGGAUCUUCGGACCUUGCGCGAUUGAAUGAGCCGAUGUCGGAUUAGCUAGUUGGCGGGGUAAAGGCCCACCAAGGCGACGAUCCGUAGCUGGUCUGAGAGGAUGAUCAGCCACACUGGAACUGAGACACGGUCCAGACUCCUACGGGAGGCAGCAGGGGGGAAUAUUGGACAAAGGGCGAAAGCCUGAUCCAGCCAUACCGCGUGGGUGAAGAAGGCCUUCGGGUUGUAAAGCCCUUUUGUUGGGAAAGAAAAGCAGCAGGUUAAUACCCCGCUGUUCUGACGGUACCCAAAGAAUAAGCACCGGCUAACUUCGUG